UACGAAGGGGGCUAGCGUUGCUCGGAAUCACUGGGCGUAAAGGGUGCGUAGGCGGGUUUUUAAGUCAGAGGUGAAAUCCUGGAGCUCAACUCCAGAACUGCCUUUGAUACUGAGAAUCUUGAGUAUGGGAGAGGUGAGUGGAACUGCGAGUGUAGAGGUGAAAUUCGUAGAUAUUCGCAAGAACACCAGUGGCGAAGGCGGCUUACUGGUCCGGAUCUGACGCUGAGGCGCGAAAGCGUGGGGAGCAAACAGG
RNAcentral lists this ribosomal RNA (253 nucleotides) under uncultured bacterium. RNAcentral's name for it is "partial 16S ribosomal RNA". It matches the Rfam family "Bacterial small subunit ribosomal RNA", at positions 524 to 776 of the family's 1533-position model. The record is from RNAcentral.